Molecule: ribosomal RNA, 506 nt
Filed under: uncultured bacterium
Lineage: Bacteria
Description: partial 16S ribosomal RNA
Source: RNAcentral
GGAGUUAGCCGGUGCUUCUUCUGUGAGUGAUGUCCUUCCUGCCGGCUAUUAACCCGCAGGCCUUCUUCCUCACUGAAAGUGCUUUACAACCCGAAGGCCUUCUUCACACACGCGGCAUGGCUGGAUCAGGGUUGCCCCCAUUGUCCAAUAUUCCCCACUGCUGCCUCCCGUAGGAGUCUGGGCCGUGUCUCAGUCCCAGUGUGGCUGAUCAUCCUCUCAGACCAGCUACGGAUCGUCGCCUUGGUGAGCCGUUACCUCACCAACCAGCUAAUCCGACAUAGGCUCAUCCGAUAGCGCGAGGCCCGAAGGUCCCCCGCUUUCCCCCGUAGGGCGUAUGCGGUAUUAGCCUGGGUUUCCCCCAGGUUAUCCCCCACUACCGGGCAGAUUCCUAUGCAUUACUCACCCGUCCGCCGCUCGCCACCAGGGAGCAAGCUCCCCGUGCUGCCGCUCGACUUGCAUGUGUUAGGCCUGCCGCCAGCGUUCAAUCUGAGCAGANACGACCACGA